RNAcentral lists this ribosomal RNA (253 nucleotides) under uncultured bacterium. RNAcentral describes it as "partial 16S ribosomal RNA". It matches the Rfam family "Bacterial small subunit ribosomal RNA", at positions 524 to 776 of the family's 1533-position model. The record is from RNAcentral.
UACGUAGGGUGCAAGCGUUGUCCGGAAUUAUUGGGCGUAAAGAGCUCGUAGGCGGUCUGUUGCGUCGGCUGUGAAAACCCGGGGCUCAACUCCGGGCCUGCAGCCGAUACGGGCAGACUAGAGUUCGGCAGGGGAGACUGGAAUUCCUGGUGUAGCGGUGAAAUGCGCAGAUAUCGGGAAGAACACCUAUGGCGAAGGCAGCUCUCUGGGACGGUACUGACGCUGAGACGCGAAAGCGUGGGGAGCGAACAGG